GCCAGAGUGGCGGAAUUGGUAGACGCACCGGAUUCAAAAUCCGGCGAUAGCAAUAUCGUGCCGGUUCGAGUCCGGCCUCUGGUACCA
This 87-nucleotide transfer RNA is filed under the name Alphaproteobacteria bacterium. RNAcentral's name for it is "tRNA-Leu". It matches the Rfam family "tRNA". From Rfam's summary of the family: Transfer RNA (tRNA) molecules are approximately 80 nucleotides in length. Their secondary structure includes four short double-helical elements and three loops (D, anti-codon, and T loops). Lineage: Bacteria; Pseudomonadati; Pseudomonadota; Alphaproteobacteria. RNAcentral also lists the same sequence under 2 other names. The record is from RNAcentral.